This 72-nucleotide transfer RNA is filed under the name Camelus bactrianus (Bactrian camel). It matches the Rfam family "tRNA". From Rfam's summary of the family: Transfer RNA (tRNA) molecules are approximately 80 nucleotides in length. RNAcentral also lists the same sequence under 2 other names. The record is from Rfam by way of RNAcentral. Lineage: Eukaryota; Metazoa; Chordata; Mammalia; Artiodactyla; Camelidae.
GGUGGUAUAGCUCAGUGGUAGAGUACACGCUUAGCAUGCACAAACUCCUGGGUUCAAUCCCUAGGACCACCA